GAUGAACGCUAGCUAUAGGCUUAACACAUGCAAGUCGAGGGGAAACGGCAGAGAGUGCUUGCACACUUUGGACGUCGACCGGCGCACGGGUGAGUAACGCGUAUCCAACCUGCCCUUUACUUGGGGAUAACCCGUUGAAAGACGGACUAAUACCCAAUGAUAUUCAUUGAUGACAUCUGAUUUGAAUUAAAGAUUUAUCGGUAUAGGAUGGGGAUGCGUCUGAUUAGCUUGUUGGUGAGGUAACGGCUCACCAAGGCCACGAUCAGUAGGGGUUCUGAGAGGAAGGUCCCCCACAUUGGAACUGAGACACGGUCCAAACUCCUACGGGUGGCUG
RNAcentral lists this ribosomal RNA (334 nucleotides) under uncultured Bacteroidota bacterium. RNAcentral's name for it is "bacterial SSU rRNA". It matches the Rfam family "Bacterial small subunit ribosomal RNA", at positions 28 to 351 of the family's 1533-position model. Lineage: Bacteria; Pseudomonadati; Bacteroidota. The record is from RNAcentral.